UGGCAAGCGUUAUCCGGAUUUAUUGGGCGUAAAGGGAGCGUAGACGGCUGGGCAAGCCUGAUGUGAAAGGCGGGGGCGCAACCCUCGGACUGCAUUGGGAACUGUCCGGCUGGAGCGCCGGAGGGGUAAGCGGAAUUCCUGGUGUAGCGGUGAAAUGCGUAGAUAUCAGGAGGAACACCGGUGGCGAAGGCGGCUUACUGGACGGCGACUGACGUUGAUGCUCGAAAGCGUGGGGAGCGAACA
RNAcentral lists this ribosomal RNA (243 nucleotides) under uncultured bacterium. RNAcentral's name for it is "partial 16S ribosomal RNA". It matches the Rfam family "Bacterial small subunit ribosomal RNA", at positions 532 to 774 of the family's 1533-position model. The record is from RNAcentral.